RNAcentral lists this non-coding RNA (271 nucleotides) under Nitrosospira sp. The record is from RNAcentral. Lineage: Bacteria; Pseudomonadati; Pseudomonadota; Betaproteobacteria; Nitrosomonadales; Nitrosomonadaceae.
GAAUUCCGCCACGUUUCAGGUGCUUUGAUCGCUUUGAGCGAUCGAGUUAAACGGGAACCAGGUAAAGGCAAUCCUGAAUUAGUCGUUCGCCUGCGAUUUGACGCAGAAUCACGCGGCUCGCGAAGACUUGUUGAGAGAUUUUCUGGAUGCCUGGGCUGCCCCCGCAACGGUAAGCAAGUGUAGGCGUGCCAAGCAGCCACUGUGAAUUUUCAUGGGAAGGCGGUACGCAAGUCUUGCGAGCCCGGAUACCGGCCUCGAACGCAUACGGAAA